AACGUAGGGGGCGAGCGUUAUCCGGAAUCACUGGGCGUAAAGGGCGUCUAGGCGGUCCAGUAAGUCCUGCGUGAAAGCUCCCGGCUCAACUGGGAGAGCGCGUGGGAGACUGUUGGGCUAGAGACUCGGAGAGGGGUGUGGAAUUCCUGGUGUAGCGGUGGAAUGCGCAGAUAUCAGGAGGAACACCUAUGGCGAAGGCAGCUCGCUGGGACGGUACUGACGCUGAGGCGCGAAAGCGUGGGGAGCGAACAGG
Molecule: ribosomal RNA, 253 nt
Filed under: uncultured bacterium
Lineage: Bacteria
Description: partial 16S ribosomal RNA
Rfam family: Bacterial small subunit ribosomal RNA
Source: RNAcentral